Molecule: non-coding RNA, 706 nt
Organism: Coturnix japonica (Japanese quail)
Lineage: Eukaryota; Metazoa; Chordata; Aves; Galliformes; Phasianidae
Source: RefSeq, a predicted model, not a curated record
CGCUCUUUGCAUUCAUUAAUAUCCCUUUUAUGCUGCAAGAAAUGAACUUCCUUUCUUAACGCUACAGACAGGAAAACAAAAUGAGAUUUUUCUUUUCUUUUAAUCUCAACGCUGUGAAAUUGGACUUAUUUCUUCCAUUUAAAAAUAUAGAGAAAAUGAAGCAUUGACAGCACACGUUCCAAACUAACAGUUGAUCCCUGCAAAUGCACAUCGACAGUUAGUGAAAUUUUGGCAAUUAAAGGAAAUGGGAACUCCCUGCUACUUAACAUCGCUCCUCAAAAGUGAAGUGUAAUUUGCACCAUCACUUCUUUAUAGCACCAGUGAUGCUUCCUUCGUUAUUGCACCGCGGCGGCAUUUGUGACAAAUGAUAAAAGCAUCAGCUUCCCAGUAAAUUUUUACAAGACCCAAAGAGUGCAAACGUGCCCCAAGAAGUGAGAAGGGGAUGAGGAGAGAAGCCAAGCCGUCAGCCCUGCAUCUGACUGUUGGAUUGGGAUUCAGGGCAGGAGUUAGGAUGCUUCACAUCCCAACAGCUGCACUCUGUCUUCAGGAUCUGAGAAACUGGACAAGACAACUGAAAAAGAAUCCAGUUGUUUAAGCUUCGGCUAGGAUUGUGUUUAUAUUUGUUUUGCUUGUAACCUUUCGUUUCCAGCCCUGCAACUAAAAGCCUGACCUUGCCUUGCUUAAUAAACCUCGUGCAGAAGCUUUA